RNAcentral lists this ribosomal RNA (261 nucleotides) under uncultured bacterium. RNAcentral's name for it is "partial 16S ribosomal RNA". It matches the Rfam family "Bacterial small subunit ribosomal RNA", at positions 793 to 1055 of the family's 1533-position model. The record is from RNAcentral.
GUCCUAGCCGUAAACGUUGGGUGCUAGGUGUGGGUGGACAUCGACCCCAUCCGUGCCGAAGCUAACGCAUUAAGCACCCCGCCUGGGGAGUACGGCCGCAAGGCUAAAACUCAAAGGAAUUGACGGGGGCCCGCACAAGAGGCGGAGCAUGCGGCUUAAUUCGAUGCGACGCGAAGAACCUUACCUGGGCUUGACAUGCAGGGCAAAGCCGGUGAAAGCCGGCGCUCUACGGAGCCUGCACAGGUGGUGCAUGGCUGUCGU